This 476-nucleotide ribosomal RNA is filed under the name Candidatus Phytoplasma sp. AZ04-1-5. RNAcentral's name for it is "bacterial SSU rRNA". It matches the Rfam family "Bacterial small subunit ribosomal RNA", at positions 173 to 639 of the family's 1533-position model. Lineage: Bacteria; Bacillati; Mycoplasmatota; Mollicutes; Acholeplasmatales; Acholeplasmataceae. The record is from RNAcentral.
AUAGGAGACAAGAAGGCAUCUUCUUGUUUUUAAAAGACCUAGCAAUAGAGUAUGCUUAGGGAGGAGCUUGCGUCACAUUAGUUAGUUGGUGAGGUAAAGGCCUGCCAAGACUAUGAUGUGUAGCCGGGCUGAGAGGUUGAACGGCCACAUUGGGACUGAGACACGGCCCAAACUCCUACGGGAGGCAGCAUGAGGGAAUUUUCGGCAAUGGAGGAAACUCUGACCGAGCAACGCCGCGUGAACGAUGAAGUAUUUCGGUACGUAAAGUUCUUUUAUUAGGGAAGAAUAACUGAUGGAAAAAUCAUUCUGACGGUACCUAAUGAAUAAGCGCCGGCUAACUGUGUGCCGGCAGCCGCGUUAAUACAUAGGGUGCAAGCGUUAUCCGGAAUUAUUGCGCGUAAAGGGCGCGUAGGCGGUUAAAUAUGUUUAUGGUCUAAGUGCCAUGCUCAACAUUGUGAUGCUAUAAACACUGUUUA